AGCGAACGCUGGCGGCAUGCCUAACACAUGCAAGUCGAACGAGACCUUCGGGUCUAGUGGCGCACGGGUGCGUAACGCGUGGGAACCUGCCCUUAGGUUCGGAAUAACUCCCCGAAAGGGGUGCUAAUACCGGAUAAUGUCUUCGGACCAAAGAUUUAUCGCCUUUGGAUGGGCCCGCGUUGGAUUAGCUAGUUGGUAGGGUAAAAGCCUACCAAGGAGACGAUCCAUAGCUGGUCUGAGAGGAUGAUCAGCCACACUGGGACUGAGACACGGCCCAGACUCCUACGGGAGGCAGCAGUGGGGAAUAUUGGACAAUGGGCGAAAGCCUGAUCCAGCAAUGCCGCGUGAGUGAUGAAGGCCUUAGGGUUGUAAAGCUCUUUUACCCGGGAUGAUAAUGACAGUACCGGGAGAAUAAGCGCCGGCUAACUCCGUG
This 433-nucleotide ribosomal RNA is filed under the name uncultured bacterium. RNAcentral's name for it is "partial 16S ribosomal RNA". It matches the Rfam family "Bacterial small subunit ribosomal RNA", at positions 29 to 507 of the family's 1533-position model. The record is from RNAcentral.